RNAcentral lists this ribosomal RNA (253 nucleotides) under uncultured bacterium. Its description in RNAcentral is "partial 16S ribosomal RNA". It matches the Rfam family "Bacterial small subunit ribosomal RNA", at positions 524 to 776 of the family's 1533-position model. The record is from RNAcentral.
UACAGGGGGUGCAAACGUUGCUCGGAAUCAUUGGGCGUAAAGCGCGCGUAGGCGGCUACUUAAGUCGGAUGUGAAAGCCCCUGGCUCAACUGGGGAAGUGCACCCGAAACUGAGCAGCUUGAAUACAAAAGAGGGUCGCGGAAUUCCCGGUGUAGAGGUGAAAUUCGUAGAUAUCGGGAGGAACACCGGUGGCGAAGGCGGCGACCUGGGUUGAUAUUGACGCUGAGGCGCGAAAGCGUGGGGAGCAAACAGG